Molecule: ribosomal RNA, 487 nt
Filed under: uncultured bacterium
Lineage: Bacteria
Description: partial 16S ribosomal RNA
Rfam family: Bacterial small subunit ribosomal RNA
Source: RNAcentral
AGUGAACGCUGGCGGUAGGCCUAACACAUGCAAGUCGAACGGCAGCACAGUAAGAGCUUGCUCUUACGGGUGGCGAGUGGCGGACGGGUGAGGAAUACAUCGGAAUCUACUUUUUCGUGGGGGAUAACGUAGGGAAACUUACGCUAAUACCGCAUACGACCUACGGGUGAAAGCAGGGGAUCUUCGGACCUUGCGCGAUUGAAUGAGCCGAUGUCGGAUUAGCUAGUUGGCGGGGUAAAGGCCCACCAAGGCGACGAUCCGUAGCUGGUCUGAGAGGAUGAUCAGCCACACUGGAACUGAGACACGGUCCAGACUCCUACGGGAGGCAGCAGUGGGGAAUAUUGGACAAUGGGCGCAAGCCUGAUCCAGCCAUACCGCGUGGGUGAAGAAGGCCUUCGGGUUGUAAAGCCCUUUUGUUGGGAAAGAAAAGCAGCAGGUUAAUACCCCGCUGUUCUGACGGUACCCAAAGAGUAAGCACCGGCUAACU